CACCUCAAUGAAGAACAGAUGAGCAGUUGGAGAGACGAGGAGGAAGGAGGAGCCUGGGCAAUCCAUUCUGUAUGAACUGAUAAGGAAGCCAGAUCUUCCUCUAUAACCCCAACCACUUGCUUGAGAUUGAAGCGACUUUCCCAGGGAAGAGCACUUUUAAAAUUCUUCAUGCUCAGAUGUCGGGCUCACAUACAUGACCAUCACUGAGCCAUAAAAAAGAGAAACCACAGCCAGAUGAGACCCACAGGUGGAGAAAGCCUUUCUUCUCCCAGCUGCUGAAGGGACCCUCAACACAGCUGUCAGGACCAGAGCAUAGGACACCAUGAUGAAGAGAAAGGGAACAAAUAAGAGCAGAGAACUUAAGAUGGAGCUAGUUAACUCUAUUGCAGCGGCUCUGGUACAGGUGAGGGCCAACAGAGGACCUGGAUCACACAGGAAGUGGUCAAUGAUCCUGGAUCCACAGAAAGAUAUUUGGGAAAUAACAAUGAUAGGAAUCAGAAACCAGAGAAAAUCAAGUAUCCAGCAGCUGACCACGAGAUUGGUGCAGAGACAUUCCUUUGUUGAGAAAUGUAUGGAAAAAUGCUUAAUAUAGAACAUACAGCUUAUGAAAUCAUUAUAAAUAAAACUCCACUGUAACUCCCACUGAAGUCAAGAAAUACAAUAUCACUUGCAUCCUAGAACUUUCCCUCAUGCUCCAUCCCAAUCACUAUCCUCUACCUCUCUCUGACCCUCCAGUUUUAACAUUCUCCUUUUCUUGUGGUAAUCAACUCUUAUUUUCUUUAUUUUAAUAACAAAGUAUGCAUUCCUAAAAAAAGUAUUUAGUUUUGUUUUUGUG
RNAcentral lists this long non-coding RNA (835 nucleotides) under Equus caballus (horse). RNAcentral's name for it is "lncRNA (ENSECAG00000054151.1)". Lineage: Eukaryota; Metazoa; Chordata; Mammalia; Perissodactyla; Equidae. The record is from RNAcentral.